UACGGAGGAUGCAAGCGUUAUCCGGAAUGAUUGGGCGUAAAGCGUCCGCAGGUGGCUGUGUAAGUCUGCUGUCAAAGAGCAAAGCUCAACUUUGUAAAGGCAGUGGAAACUACACGGCUAGAGUGCGUUCGGGGCAGAGGGAAUUCCUGGUGUAGCGGUGAAAUGCGUAGAGAUCGGGAGGAACACCGGUGGCGAAGGCGGGUCUCUGGGCAAUUCCUGACGCUGAGGCGCGAAAGCGUGGGGAGCAAACGGG
This 253-nucleotide ribosomal RNA is filed under the name uncultured bacterium. Its description in RNAcentral is "partial 16S ribosomal RNA". It matches the Rfam family "Bacterial small subunit ribosomal RNA", at positions 524 to 776 of the family's 1533-position model. The record is from RNAcentral.